RNAcentral lists this long non-coding RNA (11482 nucleotides) under Triticum aestivum (bread wheat). Its description in RNAcentral is "long non-coding RNA (TAES_LNC016515)". Lineage: Eukaryota; Viridiplantae; Streptophyta; Magnoliopsida; Poales; Poaceae. The record is from RNAcentral.
AGAACUUAUUAUUAUUUCCCUCCGAACAAAAAAACAUGAUUGGUUUAUUUACCCAUAAAAUAUUUGAAGUAUGUCAAAUGAAAAAACAUUCCUAGGCCUGGAAGUGAGAAAACACAUUACACUCAUCGAGGUAGAUAUCAUUCUGUGCGUACCUUGCCAUAGACCACAUCGGAUUUUAAGAUUCUAGAUGAACUUCAGCAAAGUGAAGUGAAACCUUUUUCUAACCUGAGAACUGCAGAAAAUUAGCUUGAUUUAUUUAACCUAAGCAAAUAAACUCUUAACUACUUAUGGCAAGUAUAUUUGAACUGAUGUAUCCUUUUUCUAGUUACUGAAUUGUUGUAGUAUUACUUCCUGCCCUUCCAAACUCGUACUGAAAACAUGUACCAAAGAACAUCAUGCAUCAGUGUUCAGAAGACAUACAAGAGCUACACACUGCCGUGAGGUACCAACUUUUCAACGGUUCAGUUCAAAAUUCAACAAUUCAAUUUUCAAUAGAUCAAACCAAGGAAAGACAACUGACCGAAGGGGUGGCCAACGGCCACAGUUGCUCACUGCGUGCACGACAGUGUCCAACAACCUCUAUCCUGGCUCAUUGUGGAACGACGUGCUGGGCGUAAUCCACGGCCUGGCAUAUGAGAUGCAAAAAAGAGUUAGAGAGGACUUAAGCUAAUUUUUUAUAGCUGAUGAUGUAGCAUUACAAAAAAUAAUAUACUUUAGCCCAUAAAUGCAAAGUACUAUGAACUUUUCCGGAGCUUUUUGUUGAACUGAAGCAUGCUCCAGAGCAGGACGAGAUCGAGCGGAUUGGGAGGAUGCUGAGCAACAUAUUGGAGAUGCAAGACCACAUUACAUCAAUUAGCGAUGUCACUGAACUUUGGGACAUUUAUACUACAAGAAUUGAUUCUACAGCAAUCUUGAACUUUCAAGUUCCAUACGCAAGAUAGCUACAAUUUGCUAAAAUCAAUCACCAGCAGAAAAAACACCAAAAGGUUCUUCAAAUGGUUGCUUGAGGAAGAGCCAAAGCUAUUUUGGGGUGGCGGACGGCAGCAGCAUGUGGGCUGGGUUGUCUCGCACUGGGAAGGAUGAGGAAAACGGCAACCCAACCACUAUAGUGGGAAUAGGAGCUGACGGCCGUGGACUGCUGCUUGGCUGAACUCGAUCGUCCGGAUGCCACGGGGCUGGAUUGGGGACGGCGCUGGACAUAUUGCAACAAUUACCAAGGAGCUUAGAGCAGCAGUGUACAUCGGCAAUGGACUGCUCAUGGCGAAGUGCGUGCCUCCCAAGCCGCGGCGUCGAACUACUUCGAGUUGUGUUGUUGAACAACCCGGUGUGGCGAUGGUGAACGGCAUGGGCGGUGCCGCGGUGGAGCCCCACCAGCAGUGGCAGGAAGCUCGACACAAUCGGCCUAGUAGCUACGACGGUGAACGGCCUGGGGUGGCCGGGUUGGAUGCUGGUCGCAGUGGCGGCGAACCCAACGCCCUGGCCACACCGGGAUGGUAGGCAACCAGAAGGAGCGGAGGGGCGUGUCCACGACGGAGAGAUUGAAAGGCCUGUGGUUGCGGCGUUGAACUGCCUGUACGCGACAGUGGAGCGAUAGCAGCGCAUGAAUCUGGUAUAGGCGACAGCCAUGGUGGUCGUUGUGUUGCAGUGCGGCGGCCCUAUUUGUCUAUCGGCAAGCUAGAUGUAUGUGUUAAAAAUGGCUAAUGCAGCAUUGGUGGAGCUAUGUGUAUUACUGCAGGGGCCAUGCCCCCCAGCUCUUGGAUUUUUUGUGAAGAAAUUCUGACAAAGAAGACGAAUAGGGCAGGAACAUUGCUUUAUUUGACAAAACUCAUUGGCUGAGGUGGAUUUGGUAGUGGGUUCAUGUUAGGUGUUACAGGAACAUUGACAUUUGAAGAGGCCUUGUCUUGCCCAGAGAUCUGUCAAAAAUAAAGGGCAUAAUCUCAGGGUUGAGUCUUUUACUACUACUUCGUAAAUAAAUAUAUAAACUGAAAUCUAGUAAUGGUAAGAACCUCAGGUAUUGGGUUGGACCUAGAAUCAACUAUUCAGAGAAUGUAACUCACUAUACCAUAAGAACAACACACUGCAAUCUAUACUACAACAAAUUAGAUAACCAGGGAGAAAAAAGAAACGCGCCGCAAAUUUAAGUGUUCUAUUGUGAAGCCGAACAAGGCCAGAAAACAGCCUAACAGCAUACUGGGCAAUCUCCUCUAUUUCAUACUCAGCAAAAGCAAAACGUUUGGGUCGACUAGUUUCCUUGUCACGGGGUAUGUGCAAGUCUACUACACGACCUACCUGAAUAAGAAUCUCAUACAAAACCCUCUCCGAGACCUUUUCAUCCAAGUUACCUAUUUAAGAAAUACACAGUUCAAGAAUUAAUACAGUACUGGUGAUUACUCCAUUAUAUUUAGGCAUGCAAAAAAGAGAGGCAAAGUGGAACAAUAACAAUCGUUGAAAAAUAGCGAAACUAGAGUACAGCAACACGUCAACCAUGGUAAACAUAUAUAUGCAAAAAAGAGGGGCAAAGUGGGACAUGAACAAUCAUUGAAAAAUAGCAGAACUAGAGUACUGCAACAGUGUCAACUAUGAAAAACAUAGAUCAGUCAACUAGCAGAACUAGAGGAUCUGCAACAGCCUAACAGUAAAUAAAACUGUCAAGGGCCUCGGUGCCCAAGACAGCAGGACCUCGACUACGUAGUUCGUAGUCGCGGUGGAUAGGAGCGCUAGGGUUUUUGCCUGGCUGCUCUAUGAUGCGGGAGGGGAAGAUAGAAGGAAAUAACUUUAUUGCUUAUCCCUAAAGGGUGCUAACUAUCUGAUAUAUAAAGGCCCCAUGGGCUAAUAACAAACUAGAAACCUAUACGAAACAAACUAGUCUAGGAACUAAUGUGCCCGGAUCAGGACUCCUGUCCAGCCUGCGCCUUGCCUGAUGCGGCCAUCGGCUGCUCCUGGCCGCGCGGCCCACGUCUGUAAGACAUGCCCCACAUGACAAAAACCACUAAGAUACCCUGAUACAAAAGCAUGUUCAUUUCUAUCUUACAACAAUGUCUUUCAAGAAGCAUAGUUAGUUAUAAGCUGUGGUGAAUUCCUAUCAGUGACACAAAGUUGUCAGCUACUUAAAUAGGCCCUCUAUGGCUAGCCCUAUAACGUGUACCAUUAAUCCAUGAUGGUCAUAAAUCUCACAACUCUAUCAUUCACACAUCUAACCCUGGAUAAUGCAUUUACUAAGCAGGUUCAAUUUGCAAUUAGAUUUGGUUUUCAGGCAUAUAUGCUUAUGCUGAUUUUCACUAUGUGCAUGCUUACAAAAUUUCAAUUGAAAGCACCACAGAGCCCAGAACACCAAGAAUGAUUGUUGCACAAGGAAAUCAGCAUGUUCAAGUUAAUUAAUCUGCCAAUAUACAAGUAAACAUAGUACAGAGAACAAUAUUCCGAAUCUAGGAGCUAGGUAAGCAACACAUAAGGCAAUCACCGACUGUGCAAGCUUAAUAAUCAAUUAAACUAUACUAUCCAAACUACGGUGAUUGAAGCAUAAACUGUUGUGGCUCUGAAUUUACCGGGGUGCUCUUCGUCGAGCUCCGUUGGCUGAGCGGCCGGGCGAGGUCGCGGAGGCAGAGGUAGGUGGUGUCGGUGGGCAAGGGGCAUGCAUCAGCAGCAGCAGAAAUGCUGCAGCUGAGCUAGACAGUCGUAGGUGCAGUAGCAGCUUGUAGCAAGGAGCGGCCUGCACUCAGCUCCUUGAGCGACUGGCCACAAAACAAGAAGUUGUACUGUUGGGCAGGAGGUCCUCAACCCCGCAACUCCUCCAGCAGGCUCCACUGUUUGCCGUUGAAUUAUAAGCCAUGGCAUUGGAGUGGGAUGCGUCCACACUGACGACAUUGAACAGACAGGGGUGGUGGCUGCGAACUGCCUGUACGUGGUGGUGGCGUAGUACCAUCAGGGAGGAGGAAGAGUGGUGGCAGGGGAGCAUCACCUGCUGCCGGAGGAUAAGUUGGCAAUAUCGUAUUCUAUUAUGUAUUGAACUUAAGUGCAGGGUUGAAUUGAACUUUUCUAACACAUAUUCACUGAACUCGGUCCCCUUGAAUGUUUAUUUUUAUAGUUAUGUUGGCAUGAGGCUAUGAAAUACAUCUCAACAAUUGUUUUUGGGUGAGUUUCAAAAAAUAUAAUACUAAGUGAAAUACUGGGCAAUCUCCUCUAUUUCAUACUCAGCAAAAGCAAAACGUUUGGGUCGACUAGUUUCCUUGUCACGGGGUAUGUGCAAGUCUACUACACGACCUACCUGAAUAAGAAUCUCAUACAAAACCCUCUCCGAGACCUUUUCAUCCAAGUUACCUAUUUAAGAAAUACACAGUUCAAGAAUUAAUACAGUACUGGUGAUUACUCCAUUAUAUUUAGGCAUGCAAAAAAGAGAGGCAAAGUGGAACAAUAACAAUCGUUGAAAAAUAGCGAAACUAGAGUACAGCAACACGUCAACCAUGGUAAACAUAUAUAUGCAAAAAAGAGGGGCAAAGUGGGACAUGAACAAUCAUUGAAAAAUAGCAGAACUAGAGUACUGCAACAGUGUCAACUAUGAAAAACAUAGAUCAGUCAACUAGCAGAACUAGAGGAUCUGCAACAGCCUAACAGUAAAUAAAACUGUCAAGGGCCUCGGUGCCCAAGACAGCAGGACCUCGACUACGUAGUUCGUAGUCGCGGUGGAUAGGAGCGCUAGGGUUUUUGCCUGGCUGCUCUAUGAUGCGGGAGGGGAAGAUAGAAGGAAAUAACUUUAUUGCUUAUCCCUAAAGGGUGCUAACUAUCUGAUAUAUAAAGGCCCCAUGGGCUAAUAACAAACUAGAAACCUAUACGAAACAAACUAGUCUAGGAACUAAUGUGCCCGGAUCAGGACUCCUGUCCAGCCUGCGCCUUGCCUGAUGCGGCCAUCGGCUGCUCCUGGCCGUGCGGCCCACGUCUGUAAGACGUGCCCCACAUGACAUCUCUCCCCCCCUCGAGGAGCAGCUCGUCCUCGAGCUGAAAAGCGGGGUAGCGCUCGACGAAACUGUCAAGAUCCUCCCAUGUAGCUGACGAAGCUGCUUCACCCUUCCAGUGGACGAGUAGCUGGCGAACGCCGCGUGCUAGGCGCGCACGAGUCACGCGCUCUGGUUCUGGAACAGCCGCCCCGUUGUGGAUCGAAGGCAAUCCCGGCGGUGUAGUUGGAGGAAUGCCGAAGAACUUCUUGAGGAGGCCCACGUGGAACACGUCAUGGAGGCGCGAGCGUGCCGGAAGCUCAAGACGGUAUGCCACGUCGUUGAUCACUUCUGAAAUGCGGUACGGCCCAUAGAAUCGUGGCUUGAGCUUGCCCCUGGUUGGCAAGUUAAGAGAGGACGCGGCGCGCUGUCGAAGGCGAAGCCAAAGCCAAUCGCCCACCUCAUGCCGAAUGUCCCGAUGACGUCUGUCGUAGUAGGACUUAUAGACCGCCUGUGCCUGUUGUAGACGAUAGCGGACGUCCUCGAUAAGUUCGUCGCGCUCAGCCAUGCUCCUGGCCACUGCAGCCACCCGUGUGUCGCCGGGCUCGUAAGAGCGAAUAGUGGGAGGGUCACGGCCAUACACAAGCUUGAACGGAGUCUCUUGGGUUGCUGUCUGGUAGGCGGUGUUGUAUAUGUACUCAGCCCAGGGAAGCCACCGGAGCCACUGCUUGGGACGAUCCCCGGUAAGACACCGUAAAUACAUCACAAUGAUCUUGUUAGCAGCCUCCGUUUGACCAUCCGACUGCGGGUGAAAUGCUGACGUCAUGUGCAGCUUUGUCCCCGUGAGGCGCAUGAGCUCUCGCCAAAAAGCGGAGGUGAAGACGGGGUCGCGGUCAGAGACCAUGGACUGCGGCACGCCAUGGAGACGAACAACCUCAGCGAAGAACACCUGUGCCACUGACUCUGCCGUGUAUGGGUGGGCUAACGCCACAAAAUGGCAAUACUUACUGAAGCGAUCCACCACGGUGAGGAUGACAGACUUCCCGCCUACUCGAGGAAGCGCUUCCACGAAGUCGAUGCCGAUGUCAGUCCACACGCCCGUGGGCACCGGCAGCGGCAGUAGCAGCCCAGCGGGGUGCAAGUGCUCGGACUUGUACCGCUGGCAAGUACCGCAAGUGCGGACGUACUCCUGCACCAUCUUGCGAAGGUUAGGUGCGUGGAAAUCGCGGCGGAGACGAUGCAAUGUGCGCAGGACGCCUUCAUGCCCAUCAUCGUGCAUGGCACUGAGAAUCUCCUGGAGUAGCGGGGAUGACGGCGGAAUGUAGAGGCGGCUGUUGAAAGUAACGAGGCCGUCGGAGAGCGCCCAAGGCUGUUGCCGCGCACCUGCCGUGAUAUCCUCCCGCAGUGUGACGAGCGCCGGAUCAGUGGACGUCGCUUGCCGGAGGCGAUUGAUGAAGUCGAAACGAGGCCCUGAGACCGCCAUGAUCGUCGUCUCCUCCGUGUCACGGCGGGAAAGUGCAUCCGCCACCGUGUUGGUACUACCUGCCUUGUACUCCACCGUAAAGUCGAAUCCCAGGAGUUUGCCAACCCAAUGAUGCUGCGGGAUGGUGGCCAAACGCUGGUCAAGCAGAAAUUUGAGGCUGUAAUGAUCCGUUUUUACCACAAACUGACGCCCCCAUAGGUACGGCCUCCAAUGGCGAAUCGCGAGCACCAGGCCGAUGAGUUCCCGUUCAUACGCUGCCAGGGAACGGUGACGUGGCGCGGCUGGCCGGCUAAAGAAAGCCACCGGGUGGUGGUCCUGAAGAAGGACGGCCCCGAAACCGUACGUCGAUGCGUCACACUCGACGAUGAACGGCCGUGUAAAAUCCGGUAACGCGAGGACGGGAGCCAUGGUGAUUGCCGUCUUGAGGGUGUUAAAAGCUGCUGCCGCCUCCGGCGACCAAGAGAAACCAUCCUUGCGAAGGAGGGCCGUCAGGGGCGCGGCAACCACGCCAAAGUCCUUGACAAACUUGCGGUAGUACCCCGCAAGGCCGAGAAAGCCCCGAACCGCGCGCGCCAAGCGUGGUUGCGGCCAGUCCGCCACUGCCUGCACCUUUUCUGGAUCCAUGGCCACGCCUGCAGCGGAGAUGGUGUGACCCAGGUAUGCGAUUGAUUCAACGGCGAACGUGCAUUUGGAGCGCUUGACGAAGAGACGGUGCUGGUGCAGGACCGUGAAGACGGUGCGCACAUGUCGGAGAUGGUCAGCCCAUGUCUCGCUGAAAAUGAGGAUGUCGUCAAAGAAGACGAGAACAAAACGGCGCAGGUAUGGCCGCAGCAGAUCAUUCAUGAGGGCCUGGAACGUGGCCGGCGCGUUGCAGAGUCCGAACGGCAUCACCAGAAACUCGUAGAGGCCGUCAUGAGUACGGAAAGCUGUCUUCGGGAUGUCCUCCGCACGCAUCCGCACCUGGUGGUAGCCGGAACGUAAAUCGAGCUUGGUGAAGAAACGAGCGUGCCGUAGCUCGUCGAGGAGUUCGUCCACCACCGGAAUCGGGAACGCAUUCUUGACAGUAAUGGCGUUCAGGGCGCGAUAAUCGAUGCAGAAGCGCCAGGACCCGUCGGCCUUGCGGACCAGCAGUACCGGGGACGAGAAUGCGGAACAACUCGCACGGAUGAUACCUUGGGCGAGCAUGGCGGCGCACUGACGCUCCAGCUCGUCCUUGUGCGCGGCCGGGUAUCGAUACGGACGGACGGCCACCGGGGCGGAACCAGGUAGCAGGGUGAUGCCGUGAUCGCGGCUGCGGGGCGGUGGCACGCCGGAGGGGUCGGCGAAGAUGCCUUCGAACUCGGUGAUGAUGGCGUCCAGGAAGUCGCGGCCGCUGCAUGAUUUUAGGGCUGGCCCGUCCGGUCCUGCAAUGCCGUGCCAGCACACCCGAUGGCCCCGCCGCCAAAAUGUCAUGGAGAGGGCUCGGAAAUCCCACAGGAUCGGUCCGAGCGACGCCAGCCACUGCGUGCCCAGGACGAUGUCGUAGCCCGCGAGCGGCAAGGCGAGGAAAUCCUCCGCGAACUCCUCGUGGCCGAUGCGGAAGGGCACGACGCGGUACGCGCCCUGGCAUGGAACGCGCUUGCCGUUGGCCACCGUGACGCGCAUCUUCUCUGUGGUGGGGGGCGGUAACGUAGCACGAGCGGCCGCCUCUUCGGCGAUGAAGUUGUGGGUGGAGCCUGAAUCGAUCAGGGCGAGAAGGGAGACACCUCCGAGAGUAAUCUGCAUCUGCAUGGUUUCACUCGUGCGCACGCCGGCGAUCGCGUGGAGCGAGAUUUGAGGGUCGGCCCGCGAUGCAUCAUCAGUGGCGGAGGCCGCGUCGUCGUCGUCGUCGUCCGGCGCUAAGUCGAGGAGAAAGAUGCGCUGGCACACCCGGUUGUGGCCCCUGCCAAACUUCUCGUUACAGUUGAAGCAAAGGCCCAGGCGACGGCGUUCCUCCAUCUCUGUCUGGGAGAGACGCUUGAUUGGGCGUCCGUCCGGCAGAUUGUGGCCCUGCUGAGGUGCGGCUGGUGGGGCCGGAGCGGGGGGCGCGAGGCGUGGUCCUGGUGUCGGCAGGAUGCCCUUCUGUGGAACACGCACUGGUGGCGCGGCGGAAAGCGCGCACUGGUCGCGCAGCUCCAAUUUGCGGGCGAGGCUCAUGGCGACGGCGAGGGACUGUGGGUUAUGGAUCUCCACGUCGAGGCUGAGGGGUGGCUGGAGUCCCACGGUGAAGAUCUGCACUUUCUGUGUCUCGGAUAAGGUGCCUGCCCGGGGAAGGAGUGCCUCAAGCCGCUCCUGGAAGUCAACGACGGACGUCGUGCGUUUGCACGCCAUUAGUUCGCCCAGUGGGUUAGCGCGCAGCGGUGGCCCGAAGCGGAGAUUGAGCAGCUCGGAGAAGCGGCGCCACGGAGGUGUGCCCUCGUCGCGCUGGACCUGCAUAUACCAUAGUUGGGCAGGACCCUCGAGAUUGUAGGACGCCAUCCACACCUUCUCCUCCUCGGCGAUCCGUUGUUGAUGGAAGAAGGACUCGCAUCUGUUGAUGAAGGCGAGCGGAUCAGACUUGCCGUCGAACUUGGGGAAGUCCAUCUUCUGGAACCUGGGCGGCCGAUCAUUGUGGUGCUGCCCAUCAUGGGCGGCGGCAGCGCUGGACGAAGAGGAGGACUUGUCCUUCUGGAGUGCGGUGACGGACGACUGCAGGGACGUCACCGUGGCCGUCAAGGCCUCGAUCAUCUUAGCCAGAUCCGCGGUGGUCGGUUCUGCCAUGCCGGAAGUGACCGAGGCGGCAGCGGAUUGUGGCGAUGUCGGGGAGCUGGGCGCGGACACAGGGGGGAAAGCGACCGGCGGAUGGAGCGUGGACGAGGAGGAGGAUCGCCUGGAACCUGAUACCAAGUUGUCAAGGGCCUCGGUGCCCAAGACAGCAGGACCUCGACUACGUAGUUCGUAGUCGCGGUGGAUAGGAGCGCUAGGGUUUUUGCCUGGCUGCUCUAUGAUGCGGGAGGGGAAGAUAGAAGGAAAUAACUUUAUUGCUUAUCCCUAAAGGGUGCUAACUAUCUGAUAUAUAAAGGCCCCAUGGGCUAAUAACAAACUAGAAACCUAUACGAAACAAACUAGUCUAGGAACUAAUGUGCCCGGAUCAGGACUCCUGUCCAGCCUGCGCCUUGCCUGAUGCGGCCAUCGGCUGCUCCUGGCCGCGCGGCCCACGUCUGUAAGACAUGCCCCACAUGACAAAAACCACUAAGAUACCCUGAUACAAAAGCAUGUUCAUUUCUAUCUUACAACAAUGUCUUUCAAGAAGCAUAGUUAGUUAUAAGCUGUGGUGAAUUCCUAUCAGUGACACAAAGUUGUCAGCUACUUAAAUAGGCCCUCUAUGGCUAGCCCUAUAACGUGUACCAUUAAUCCAUGAUGGUCAUAAAUCUCACAACUCUAUCAUUCACACAUCUAACCCUGGAUAAUGCAUUUACUAAGCAGGUUCAAUUUGCAAUUAGAUUUGGUUUUCAGGCAUAUAUGCUUAUGCUGAUUUUCACUAUGUGCAUGCUUACAAAAUUUCAAUUGAAAGCACCACAGAGCCCAGAACACCAAGAAUGAUUGUUGCACAAGGAAUUCAGCAUGUUCAAGUUAAUUAAUCUGCCAAUAUACAAGUAAACAUAGUACAGAGAACAAUAUUCCGAAUCUAGGAGCUAGGUAAGCAACACAUAAGGCAAUCACCGACUGUGCAAGCUUAAUAAUCAAUUAAACUAUACUAUCCAAACUACGGUGAUUGAAGCAUAAACUGUUGUGGCUCUGAAUUUACCGGGGUGCUCUUCGUCGAGCUCCGUUGGCUGAGCGGCCGGGCGAGGUCGCGGAGGCAGAGGUAGGUGGUGUCGGUGGGCAAGGGGCAUGCAUCAGCAGCAGCAGAAAUGCUGCAGCUGAGCUAGACAGUCGUAGGUGCAGUAGCAGCUUGUAGCAAGGAGCGGCCUGCACUCAGCUCCUUGAGCGACUGGCCACAAAACAAGAAGUUGUACUGUUGGGCAGGAGGUCCUCAACCCCGCAACUCCUCCAGCAGGCUCCACUGUUUGCCGUUGAAUUAUAAGCCAUGGCAUUGGAGUGGGAUGCGUCCACACUGACGACAUUGAACAGACAGGGGUGGUGGCUGCGAACUGCUUGUACGUGGUGGUGGCGUAGUACCAUCAGGGAGGAGGAAGAGUGGUGGCAGGGGAGCAUCACCUGCUGCCGGAGGAUAAGUUGGCAAUAUCGUAUUCUAUUAUGUAUUGAACUUAAGUGCAGGGUUGAAUUGAACUUUUCUAACACAUAUUCACUGAACUCGGUCCCCUUGAAUGUUUAUUUUUAUAGUUAUGUUGGCAUGAGGCUAUGAAAUACAUCUCAACAAUUGUUUUUGGGUGAGUUUCAAAAAAUAUAAUACUAAGUGAACAGUACAACCUAACCUAACUGGAUAUGCAACAUGCAGUAGACAUGUUCAGUGUCUCGACUUUUCACAAAAAACUGCAGAUGUACUAUCAUCUAUGCAAAAAUGUAUCAUAGAAAUAAUGGAGAAGGCUUAGUUAAAAUGGGAACACCUUGUUCAGUUUUGAUCAAAUUAAUAUCACAAAGAGCACUCGCUACCUUCUCUACAGAGUCCAGGUUAUAGAAAAAAUGGUGAAGAAAUAAGAACAAUUAUCACUUGUACUGCCUAGAAAAUAACACGCAAACUUGUAGCAUUUGAUCAGUUGAACUUGUCAUAAUAGAAAUAAAUAACUAUGUACACGGAUACAACUUGCAUCAUCCAUGACAGUUUGAACUGUUGUCAUCCAUGAUGGUAUUGUGAUUACUUGAAUGGGUAGCGACGGUCAAUGUUCUAAACUGUACAAAAACUCAUGUUCUUUGACAGUUUAAAUUUUGUCUAAACUUACCGGUUUCCUGUCUCUGAACUUACAAAACUUACAGAGAUGUACUCAACCACCACCACGAUGAUAAGAUGGACACAGACCAAAGGAUUCGAUGCUCAUCAGUAAGUAGCAGGAUAACAUUCAGCAGGGCACGGUACGGUUGAGACAAAAAGAUUGAGAGUUUCAGACGAUAC